UGAAUUGAUGAAACAACAAAAAUGGCUUCGGAGGAUGGAUUGAAACAACAAUUGGAAGAAUUGCAGACACAGCUAGGAAAGAAAAACAUUUUGAGGAUGUUGUGUCUUCUAUCAAAUCCCUUUUCUGCGAUUUCUACCCCUCUGCUUCUCCUUCUCUUCCCAAAUUAUUCUAUUCCGUUGUUUAGCGAGUAGCGACCAUUCUAAAAGCGGGAUAUUACAGCGCCUGGUGCUCGCUGGGUUUGGGUUGUUUGAGCAAGCUAAAAGCUUGGUUUCUGAUGCUUUUGAGAAGGAGCGUUUGAAGAAUUGCGUUGCUCAAGUUAAAGAACAUUUGCAUUUGACGGAAAAUCCACCCCAUAUUUUUCCUUGUUCGUCGCGUGGAGGUUGACUUCUGUGAAAACCAUAAUUUUUUUUUUCUUGAAAGCUUGUGAAUUUUACUAUCAUUUCUGAUUUUUUGUGGGGGUCGUGUUUGAUUCAUUUUACGGUAUCUUUUUGAGGGGCAUCUUACUGUGGAUCCUGAGCCACCGCAACCUCAAUGGUUGGUGCAAUCAAACCUAAUGAGUUCUAUGGCCUCUCUUUUGGGAGCUGAAUCUUCUGGAGCUCCAGUGGAAAAUGCAGCCAAUAUACUUGAAGAGCUCAUAAGCAACCUUGAUACCAUUAUACCUGAGGAUGAGCACAAUUCUUGUCUAAUUUGUCAGCGUGAGCCGCAAACCGAUGAUCAUGCAUAUGAGAGCUAGGAAGAGCGAGAAAAGGAGGCUGAAGAAGAGAAGAAAGGUGCUGUCAAUGUUGUUUGUGGUGGUGAAAUUUAUUUAUUUAUUUAUUUAUUUUUUCAUGGAGGCCCUAGGCGGGCACAAGGGGAAUACAAACCGGAAUUGCUACAAACGAUUAAACAAGAAAGAAGUAUCCCUUAAAGCAAUUGCUGCAAUGCUAUAAGCAGCUUGGUUACAGCCUCUUCUAACAAAUUGAAUGAAAAAUUAUCAAAAGAUUGUGCCAAAUGAAGAAUGUCUAAGACUAAUUCUUGAAUUUGGGAAGGAGUUUCAUAGCCUUUUAUGGCCUGAAUGAGCACCUGCGAAUCACCUUCAAAGAUUGCCCGCCUGAGGUUCCUCUCCUUAGCUGGAAGCAAGGCUUCUUGACAAGCUAGACCUUCCAAAACCAAGGGAUCGGUAAUUGCUUCCGCCCUCUCACAAAUCCAUCCCCUCGGGCUGCGGCUACUAUUCCUGGCUAUUGCUGCUAAAGCCCCAACCCUUUUGCUUUGUUGACAGCCGCAUAAAGGUUAACUUUCAUGACGUUCUGGGGUGGCAGAGUGAAACCAGUAUGAGGUGGUGAAUACCUUUAUAUUUAGACGACAGCCACGCACUAGAUUCAUAGUCAACAAUGCGCCAUUUCUGUAUUUAUAUUUGUGACUAUGUUCAAUUUUAAAGGUUAUAUUUUAAUUCAAUACUGUUUUGGCAAA
Long non-coding RNA from Hevea brasiliensis (rubber tree), 1450 nucleotides. RefSeq lists it as uncharacterized. The transcript has 3 exons. The record is from RefSeq and is a predicted model, not a curated record. Lineage: Eukaryota; Viridiplantae; Streptophyta; Magnoliopsida; Malpighiales; Euphorbiaceae.